RNAcentral lists this transfer RNA (72 nucleotides) under Schistosoma mansoni. Lineage: Eukaryota; Metazoa; Platyhelminthes; Trematoda; Strigeidida; Schistosomatidae. The record is from RNAcentral.
ACAGAGUAGCUAAGUGGGUAACGCGAUGGCAUUUGAAGCGAAAGAUACUGGGUUCGAGCCCCAGAGUGAACA